Molecule: ribosomal RNA, 513 nt
Filed under: uncultured bacterium
Lineage: Bacteria
Description: partial 16S ribosomal RNA
Rfam family: Bacterial small subunit ribosomal RNA
Source: RNAcentral
UGGGGAAUAUUGCACAAUGGGCGCAAGCCUGAUGCAGCCAUGCCGCGUGUGUGAAGAAGGCCUUCGGGUUGUAAAGCACUUUCAGCGAGGAGGAAGGUGGUGAACUUAAUACGUUCAUCAAUUGACGUUACUCGCAGAAGAAGCACCGGCUAACUCCGUGCCAGCAGCCGCGGUAAUACGGAGGGUGCAAGCGUUAAUCGGAAUUACUGGGCGUAAAGCGCACGCAGGCGGUUUGUUAAGUCAGAUGUGAAAUCCCCGGGCUCAACCUGGGAACUGCAUUUGAAACUGGCAAGCUAGAGUCUCGUAGAGGGGGGCUAGAAUUCCAGGUGUAGCGGUGAAAUGCGUAGAGAUCUGGAGGAAUACCGGUGGCGAAGGCGGCCCCCCUGGACGAAGACUGACGCUCAGGUGCGAAAGCGUGGGGCAGCAAACAGGAUUAGAUACCCUGGUAGUCCACGCUGUAAACGAUGUCGAUUUGGAGGUUGUGCCCUUGAGGCGUGGNUUCCGGAGCUAACG